UUUUUGGUGGUCCAGUGGUUAGGACACUGCUUCUACCUCAGAGGGCCCAGGUUUGAUUCCUGGUCUGGGAA
Molecule: transfer RNA, 71 nt
Filed under: Bos taurus (domestic cattle)
Lineage: Eukaryota; Metazoa; Chordata; Mammalia; Artiodactyla; Bovidae
Also listed under: 5 other names
Rfam family: tRNA
About the family: Transfer RNA (tRNA) molecules are approximately 80 nucleotides in length.
Source: Rfam by way of RNAcentral